GAUGAACGCUGGCGGCGUGCUUAACACAUGCAAGUCGAACGAAGCACUUUAUUUGAUUUCCUUCGGGACUGAUUAUUUUGUGACUGAGUGGCGGACGGGUUAGUAACGCGUGGGUAACCUGCCUUGUACAGGGGGAUAACAGUUGGAAACGGCUGCUAAUACCGCAUAAGCGCACAGCAUCGCAUGAUGCAGUGUGAAAAACUCCGGUGGUAUAAGAUGGACCCGCGUUGGAUUAGCUAGUUGGUGAGGUAACGGCCCACCAAGGCGACGAUCCAUAGCCGACCUGAGAGGGUGACCGGCCACAUUGGGACUGAGACACGGCCCAAACUCCUACGGGAGGCAGCAGUGGGGAAUAUUGCACAAUGGGCGAAAGCCUGAUGCAGCGACGCCGCGUGAGCGAAGAAGUAUUUCGGUAUGUAAAGCUCUAUCAGCAGGGAAGAUAAUGACGGUACCUGACUAAGAAGCACCGGCUAAAUACGUG
RNAcentral lists this ribosomal RNA (481 nucleotides) under uncultured bacterium. Its description in RNAcentral is "partial 16S ribosomal RNA". It matches the Rfam family "Bacterial small subunit ribosomal RNA", at positions 28 to 507 of the family's 1533-position model. The record is from RNAcentral.